ACCAGUAACCGCUCACCGUCCCCUCCUCAGGUUACUCAUAACCUUCAUCUGGUUUUUUUCUUGUUAACUGUUAAACCAGCAAUAUCCAACCAGUUCACUGCUGCUUUGGAGAAAAAGAAAAAAGAAAAAAAAAAACAGGGCAUGGAGAGGAGGAGGUGUUCUCUUUCUGCCCCCAGUGCAAAACAAACAACAACAAGGUGUAAAGUCUGAGUGUGGUGACAACAGGGGGUUCCCAUAAUUUCUGCAAUUUUUGAAAUUUUGGAGCGUAGGAUGGAGGGAAGGGUAAUGGGAAACAGGGAACUAUAAACCUGGAGAAAAGGAAAAAGAAUGGAAAAUGAAGGCAGGAAUGCUCAGAAAUAGGCGGAGGCAGGACCAAAGAACUGUGUGGGGUGGUGACAGCGCUUUCUGGCCACAGCUUGUUUCGGGUGGGGAAUAUUCCGUGUGGCUGGUUGUGUGGUGUCAGGGCUGGGGAGCAGGAGAGGCUCAGGGCUGGGGAGAAAACACUGUAAAUAUAAAAAUGCUAUGUAGUACUGAGAGCUCAGGUAAGAGAGUUUAAGGAUCUAUUUUAAACUGCUCCUCACCUUUCCCACACAAACCAAACGUGGAUUCUUCACAGGUAUUUUCUGAUUUACCCCUGUUUUAGCUUCCCCUGCCACUGGGCUUAAAUGCAUUCUUUAAAAAAAAAUAAUAUUAAACCAAAGAAAUACUAUACUUUAGAAGAUUCUUCAUAAGGAAGCCGUAUCAAUUUCUGCCUCUUUCAUUUCUUUCCUCUUGAAACAUCAUUCACCAGUUCUGGGUUCUGUUCCCAGAUGUGCCCAACGUUGAAGGUGACGGGUGUUAAAGCCAGGGGUGUGUGUCCCGUGUGAGGGGCUGGGGUGGAGGGGCCAUGCCCUGCUCUGCAGAGGGAAUCACAUCCUGCACCAGCUCCAUUUCCCUUCAGCCAUUCCUUACCUCAGGCCUCCAGAUACCGGCGUCCUGAGUCAGGGAAGGAGAAUGUGACAUCAGCCUGGGAAUACGUAUGAGUAGAAAUAAAUCGGUAAAGUUCUUCAUUUUCAUCCCAUCAUAAACCAUUACAAAAUAAGGAAAUAAUUGAUCUAAGGUAAAGUUAAUGUGAAAAAAAAACCUGCUUAGACAACUGAGCUGGAUUUUUAACUGUAGCAACUCUUUGUAAGGCACAUAAAGUCUGUGCCCAGGUGGCUGGACUGAUGCUUCCCCCCUGUUAGAGGACAGUGGGGCGUGGGACAGGAGCGGCAGCCCCUUCCUGUUGCUCGGUGGGUUUGGAUUUCUCUUCCAAAAGGCAAAAUAUGAGGUUCCUGAGUUUCUGUUGCUUGUUGGGAGGUAAAGUCAAGAAGCUAUAAAGUGAUUUCGCCCUUGGUAGUAUUUACCUUGCUCAGUUUGGACACAGAUGUCACGUGAGAGCUUUUGUAAAAACCCCAAACUGAGAACAAACUACAAGCUUUUUUGUUUUUUGUUUUUUUUUAAAGAUACCCCUAAAAUUAUUGUGAUGUUUGUUCUGGUGAUGUAAAGCUGUGCCUGAUUCACACUGUUCCACAUUCUUACAAGGCAGCGACUUGUACCCACUUAACUGCUCAGUGGGGCUGGAGGCAAGAGGGGUUUGGAACGAGAGGAUCAGGGUCAUUUGUGGGUUUCCAGUUCUUCCUGAGCCAAAUCCCUCUCAAACGCUGUGUGUGACCACACUCCCCUGGCGGGGGGUUUAGUUUCAGUCCUGGGCAGGGUUAUAAGCCUUUCUGGGGAGGAAAAAAAUACAUUUUUUAAGUAACAUCCUCCAAUUAGUCAUUCAUUAGGUUUUGCCAUUAUUAUUCUUUUUUUUUUUACUUCCCACAGGAGCCCUUAACCCACCCCCUUUCCUCCCAGUCCCCCCAGUAAAACCUGGUCACCCAGUGCUGACCAGAGCUUCGCUGGUACCACCGUGACUCACAGUACAGAGUGUCACCUUCCCGAAAAUGAGAUUUCUGCUCACUUUCUGAGUUGCAAAUUCUUGAGGCUGGGGAGGAGGGGGAGGAAUCUUUCCAUGCCCAGCAGUAAAAAAAAAUAAAUAAAUAAAAUAGGGUAUUUAUUCUUCCCAAGAAGCAAAGCAGUUGUUAAAUACCUUUUCCCAGCACUUUACUUAAAACCUGAUUAGGUGAUGUUGAGCUCUGGAGCUGUAACUGGUACUUCCAUAACUCCAUGAUUUUUUUUGAAAACCACUCUCCCCCAGGACACGCUCUAGACUGUAUUAUUUGGGAAUAUAAUAAAUAGACUUUCUAAAGAAACUCCAGGCAUGAACACAAUUGCAUGAAAAAAUAAUAAUAAUGGGGUUUUUUUCUGUACUUUUGUGCAAUGUUGGUGCUGUUGGGUCGUACUUUGCACAUUUCUGGUCUUGUUUUUCCUUUCCUUGCUACUAUUUGUCAUGGUGGUGUGGGUUUUAGGUGCAAAAUAGCUUCUUUAUUCUUUUUUUUUUUAAAGGAGUAUCUGGUAAUUAUCAAGCCUCGUUUAUGCUUUUUAGUUGAGUUAUGGGUGUACGGCAUAUUCUAUUCAGUAAUGGAAAAGCUGCGUUAUUAAUUUGUGAGGAAAGUUAAUGCAUUUUUAAUGUAAAACUUCACUGUAAGAAGAGGUUCAAGACCACAAGGAGCACUUAAAAUAAUGUCACACUCGGAGUAAGCGCAUUAGGAGCAUUCCCUUUAAAAAUACAUCAACUUUUAUUCACUUUUUCGUUAUUUUAAUUUUUUUUAAGCAGAGCAAAAGCAGCAGUUUGCCUUAUGCUCCCCAGGGCCCCGUAGGGCAGUGUCAGACACGGCCGGCGUCGCGGUCCCGCCAGCGCAGGUCCUUCUCCUUUUGCUGCUGCCCCGGCCCAGAUCUCAGCUCCUCAGCUCACACCAGAAAGGAAAACAGCUUCAUGGGGGCAGGUAUUUCUGAAGGCAGUGGAAAAGUCUGUCGAAAAAUAAUGUAUUUUUGCAGUCUUUCACCUGGAAAUCCACGGCAGCAGUCGCUCCGUCCUCUCCUCCUCAGGUCACCUUAGGAAAAAACUAUUUGAGCGUAGUUCUUUAAGCUUAAAAUCCAGUUGUCUGGUCAGAUUUGUUGUGUUUCAUUAUGGAGUGUGUCGGAUAAUCCCUCUUGCUUUAACAAAAAAAAUAACAAAAAAGAAAAAAAAGACAAAAAAAAAAUAAAAAAAGAGGUAUUUUAACCUAGUCCAAAGGUAUGGUCAUGUAUUACUGUAAUAAGGAUCAUGGUUUUAAGUGUAUUCCAUUUUGGUUUCCACCAUGAACAUCUAAUCCCUGUAACAAUGUUGUAUGUUUAUUUAAAGUAUAUAUAUUAUAUAUAUUAAAAAAGAAAUAAUUAAAUGUCAGAUUUUUUGCAUUAAGAUUUUUUUAAAUUUGAAUAUGAACUUUGAGUACUUUAUUUCACCAAAAAAAGAGAAAUAUUAAGAAAUACUUUCCUGGAGUGUUCAGUUUCAGAAUUCAAGAUUAUAUUUGUCAAAUUUAAGUUUAAAAUAUGUAGCUAAUGUUGUUUUCUGAUAUUGACUGUAAAUAUUUGUAAAAAGAAAUUCUUUUGUAUAUUUUUGUGAAAAUGUAGUUCCCCAAAAGAUAUGAAAGAUUUAAUAAAAAAGUGCAUUUAUGUUGCUGCUCAA
Molecule: long non-coding RNA, 3628 nt
Organism: Calidris pugnax (ruff)
Lineage: Eukaryota; Metazoa; Chordata; Aves; Charadriiformes; Scolopacidae
Exons: 2
Source: RefSeq, a predicted model, not a curated record